Molecule: non-coding RNA, 45 nt
Filed under: Trypanosoma brucei brucei
Lineage: Eukaryota; Euglenozoa; Kinetoplastea; Trypanosomatida; Trypanosomatidae
Source: RNAcentral
ACAAAUAAUGGGAUUUAACGAUAUAGAGGAUGAAUGAUUAUUAAU